AUUGAACGCUGGCGGCAGGCCUAACACAUGCAAGUCGAGCGGAGCGGCGGACGGGCGAGUAAUGCCUGGGAAUCUGCCUGGUCGUGGGGGAGAAAUUCCGGAAACGGGCGCUAAUUCCGCAUAAUAUCAGACGAGCCAACGUCGGAGUAGCUAGUUGGUGGGGUAAAGGCCUACCAAGGCGACGAUCCGUAACUGGUCUGAGAGGAUGAUCAGUCACAAUGGAACUGAGACACGGUCCAGACUCCUACGGUAGGCAGCAGUGGGGAAUAUUGGACAAUGGGCGAAAGCCUGAUCCAGCCAGGCCGCGUGUGUGAAGAAGGUCUUCGGAUUGUAAAGCACUUGAAGUUGGGAGGCGUUACCGACAGAAGAAGCACCGGCUAACUCCGUGCCAGCAGCCGCGGUAAUUC
This 407-nucleotide ribosomal RNA is filed under the name uncultured bacterium. RNAcentral's name for it is "partial 16S ribosomal RNA". It matches the Rfam family "Bacterial small subunit ribosomal RNA", at positions 30 to 526 of the family's 1533-position model. The record is from RNAcentral.